GGAGGAAAGCAGGGGAUCGCAAGACCUUGCGCUUUUGGAGUGGCCGAUGCCUGAUUAGCUAGUUGGUAGGGUAAUGGCUUACCAAGGCGACGAUCAGUAGUUGGUCUGAGAGGACGACCAGCCACACUGGGACUGAGACACGGCCCAGACUCCUACGGGAGGCAGCAGUGGGGAAUUUUGGACAAUGGGCGAAAGCCUGAUCCGGCCAUGCCGCGUGAGUGAAGAAGGCCUUCGGGUUGUAAAGCUCUUUCAGUCGAGAAGAAAAGGUUGUGACUAAUAAUCACAACUCAUGACGGUAUCGACAGAAGAAGCACCGGCUAACUACGUGCCAGCAGCCGCGGUAAUACGUAGGGUGCGAGCGUUAAUCGGAAUUACUGGGCGUAAAGGGUGCGCAGGCGGCUUUGUAAGUCAGAUGUGAAAUCCCCGGGCUUAACCUGGGAAU
RNAcentral lists this ribosomal RNA (442 nucleotides) under uncultured ammonia-oxidizing beta proteobacterium. Its description in RNAcentral is "bacterial SSU rRNA". It matches the Rfam family "Bacterial small subunit ribosomal RNA", at positions 198 to 621 of the family's 1533-position model. Lineage: Bacteria; Pseudomonadati; Pseudomonadota; Betaproteobacteria. The record is from RNAcentral.